RNAcentral lists this long non-coding RNA (315 nucleotides) under Mus musculus (house mouse). Lineage: Eukaryota; Metazoa; Chordata; Mammalia; Rodentia; Muridae. The record is from RNAcentral.
CACCUCUCCAUCUUCUGUGCAUCUCCCUCAUCAUUGUCUCUCUACACAGCUGGAUAGGACACUCCCAGGGAUGUUAAAUAAAAAUCCACUUAUGGAUCUGCAGAUUUUGUUUUCUUCCUGUGCCAGUCAGCGGACAACUGGUUUUUCACCUUUUGGCUCUGAUGAACAGGAAAGAGUUGCUAGGACAUGGCCUGAAUAUUAGGAAAGUGCCGAUCUGCACGCAUCAUCCUGACUGAGUGGCAUGGGAGAGUUUCAAGAUAGGCAUGAUCUUCGGUGAAAUGGAAAGGGUUAUUAUUAUUAUUUUUUAAUGGUAUG